RNAcentral lists this ribosomal RNA (241 nucleotides) under uncultured bacterium. RNAcentral's name for it is "partial 16S ribosomal RNA". It matches the Rfam family "Bacterial small subunit ribosomal RNA", at positions 95 to 339 of the family's 1533-position model. The record is from RNAcentral.
GCGGCGGACGGGUGAGUAAUGCUUGGGAAUCUACCUAGUAGUGGGGGAUAACGUGUGGAAACGCACGCUAAUACCGCAUACGUCCUACGGGAGAAAGCAGGGGACCUUCGGGCCUUGCGCUAUUAGAUGAGCCCAAGUCGGAUUAGCUAGUUGGUGCGGUAAUGGCGCACCAAGGCGACGAUCAGUAGCUGGUCUGAGAGGAUGAACAGCCACAUUGGAACUGAGACACGGUCCAAACUCC